Small nuclear RNA from Castor canadensis (American beaver), 164 nucleotides. Its record names the gene U1. It matches the Rfam family "U1 spliceosomal RNA". Rfam says of the family: U1 is a small nuclear RNA (snRNA) component of the spliceosome (involved in pre-mRNA splicing). Its 5' end forms complementary base pairs with the 5' splice junction, thus defining the 5' donor site of an intron. The record is from Ensembl. Lineage: Eukaryota; Metazoa; Chordata; Mammalia; Rodentia; Castoridae.
AUACUUACCUGGCAGGGGAGAUACCAUGAUCACGAAGGUGGUUUUCCCAGGGCGAGGCUUAUCCAUUGCACUCCGGAUGUGCUGACCCCUGCGAUUUCCCCAAAUGUGGGAAACUCGACUGCAUAAUUUGUGGUAGUGGGGGACUGCGUUCGCGCUCUCCCCUA